Molecule: RNA transcript, 2384 nt
Organism: Xenia sp. Carnegie-2017
Lineage: Eukaryota; Metazoa; Cnidaria; Anthozoa; Malacalcyonacea; Xeniidae
Gene name: probable imidazolonepropionase
Exons: 10
Source: RefSeq, a predicted model, not a curated record
CUCUGAAAAAUCAUCUGUGCUUAUUUCUCAGUCAUACAAUUAAUGUUUAUUAUUAAUUUCUACCAGAUCACUCUUUCACCCAUUCGUUUCACCACAGAUCAUCGCUUUCGCGUCGUCGUCUUACGACUUCAUGAUUUUGAGUGAUGGAAACGUACAGCUAAACUUGAAAAUAUAUUGUCCUUUGAAUUUUGGAUAAUUUAAGUUUAGUCCCGAAUAUUUUUAAAUAUGUAUCGUUUACUGGUGAAAAAUGCAAAGCAAGUUGUACUGGUAUGUAAUAAAGGUGAAACUUUGUUAAAAGGAAAUUCAAUGAGUAAUGUUGUCGUACUUAACGAAGGCUAUAGUUUAGUAAUUGAUGAACAAGGAAACCUGGCUUGUAUAGAUGUAAAUAAUGUUGUUUAUGAAAAAUAUUCAGAAAAUGAUUUUGAUAAAAUAAUAGAUGCUACAGGUUGCAGUAUAAUCCCAGGUUUGGUAGAUGGUCAUACCCAUCCCGUAUUUGCUGGUGAUAGAGUGCAUGAAUUUGCUAUGAAGUUGGCUGGUGCAUCGUACUUGGAUAUUCACAAAUCUGGAGGUGGGAUCAAUUUUACUGUCAGUCAUGUUCGGAAAGCAAAUGAAAAACAACUUUUCGACAGUCUCAGAGAAAUUUUGAUGCGUAUGUUGAGAGCUGGAACAACAUUAAUGGAAGCAAAGAGUGGCUAUGGACUUGACACUAAAAAUGAAAUGAAGAUGCUAAGGGUAUUGGAAAGAGCAAAAAAUGAACAAGCUAUUGAAAUAUCAAGUACAUAUUGUGGAGGUCAUGCUAUACCACUGGGCUCUACUCCUGCUGAGGCUACACAUGAUAUUAUUACAAAGCAGUUACCUGCACUGAAAAGCCUUAUGGAUUCAGGGAAACUUCAUGUAGACAAUAUUGAUGUGUUUUGUGAAAAAGGUGUAUUUGAACUCUCAGAUACAGAGAAAAUACUGAAGGCGGGGAAGAAAAUUGGUUUGGCAAUCAACUUUCAUGCUGAGGAGUUAAAUCAACUUAAUUCUGUUGAGUUAGGAGUGUCACUUGGAGCAAGAUCAAUAAGUCAUCUUGAAGAAAUAAGUGAAGAAGGAAUCAAAAUGAUGGCAUCAUCCUCAAGUGUUGCUGUUGUUUUACCAACAACUGCCUAUAUAUUAAAACUAUGUCCACCUCCAGUAAGAAAGAUGAUUGAUGAAGGUGUUGCAAUUGCCCUUGGUUCUGACUUCAAUCCCAAUGCAUUCUGUGUGUCUAUGCCACUGGUGAUGCAUCUAGCCUGUGUAUUGUAUGGAAUGACCAUGAACGAAGCACUUGUAGCAAGUACGAUUAAUGCAGCAGCAUCAAUAGGAAAAUCACAUUCUCACGGAUCUUUAGAAUAUGGUAAAGUUGGUGAUAUCCUUAUUCUUGACUGUCCAAGAUGGGAACAUCUAAUAUAUCAAUUGGCUGGUCAUGAUCAUGUGAUUAAACAUGUUAUCAAGAAAGGACGUGUGGUAUAUUCUCGUCAAGACCAACCAUAAAUUAUAAAAUGGAUGUUGAGUUGCCUGAUACAGAAGAUACGUCGACUCAGCUAGUUCAGGUCUCAAUGGAUAAAAAUGUACAUGUGACAUGCCCGUGUUCCAGUCAAAUCUCUCUGAGUUUGAUUUUAGUUCAAUGAUGAUGACACAAACCCUUGGAUAAGGAAUACCAUGUGUUGUAUUGUCAAAUGCACAGAGUAAACGAUUUGCUAAAUCAUGCGCCAUUAACAAUAGUUCAUCAUUAUAAUCAUUGGGUAUCAUAUUGCCAAAUGGUUGCUGGGGAUCACGAAUGAUGAGAUGCGCAGAAAGCAAUCCACCAAGGACUCUAUGUAACAAGAGCAAGAAAAUAAAUUCAAAUGAAUGUAAGGUAACAAUAACUGGUAAUUUGUUACCUUAUUGUGACUUCAAAAACUUGCACUGUAGUAUUCUUAUCAAAAGAAACAUUGUCCAUAACUAAUUUGACUGCACGUUUAAAUUCACUAAUAUUUCCCAUAAUCUAAAGAGUAAUCAAAAGUCUUCUUCAAAUAACAUCGAACGGAUAUUAUUCAAAAAGGAAAAAUCACUUACGGCUAAUGUGCCUAAGGAUUCAACAAGUGACAAAGAAUAAUCCCCAAGUACAUCAUUAAUAUUGAUAUUUGACCUAAAGAAUAAAACAAAUUAAUCAAAAUCUAAAGGUCACGAGGAUAAAAAACCCCAAAAAUCGUAAAUACACGAUAGAGGAAGGGAGUCAAAGGUAAAUCAUAAAUUACAUACGGGUUCUCAUAAUCCGGUCCUCUGCCUGUACAAUGUAUUGGAUCCAACUCAUCCAUUGGAUAAGCAUAUUUUAUGUAGUUAUCGUAGCCAAAGUAAAACAUUUCCUUCGCUUCUUCACGUAA